This 860-nucleotide long non-coding RNA is filed under the name Chrysolophus pictus (golden pheasant). Its description in RNAcentral is "lncRNA (ENSCPIG00010011758.1)". The record is from RNAcentral. Lineage: Eukaryota; Metazoa; Chordata; Aves; Galliformes; Phasianidae.
AUGGGAUUUUGGGGUGCAUUUCUGGGAUUUUGGGUCCCCCCACAGGCGCAGCCCGGACCUUCAAAGCCACCAACGGAAGCUCCGCCCCCUCAGCCGCCGCCGGAGGAGCAGAGCAAGGAGCCCAAAAAGGAGAGCGGGGGGGGCAGCAGCAGCAGCCGCCGGAAGCGGAGCCGCAGCCGCAGCCCUGAGCACAGACACAGGGGGGGGCNNNNNNNNNNNNNNNNNNCCGGGGAAGGGGGCCCCGCAGCCGCAGCCGUGAGCACAGACACAGGUGGGGCCGACCCCAAAAUCCCCGUUCCUGGCCCCAAAAUCCUCCCUUCUCACCCCAAAUCCCCCUUUGCAGACCCCAAAAUCCUCCCUUCUGGCCCCAGAUCCCCAUUUCUGGCCCCAAAAUCCCCAUUUCUGGCCCCAAAAUCCUCCCUUUUGACCCCAAAUCCCCCUUUCCCGACCCCAAAAUCCCCAUUUCUGGCCCCAAAAUCCUCACUUCUGACCCCAAAUCCCCCUUUCCGACCCCAAAUCCCCCUUUCCGACCCCAAAAUCCCCAUUUCUAGCCCCAAAAUCCUCAUUUCCCAACCCCAAAAUCCUCACUUCUGGCCCCAAAAUCCUCUCUUCUCACCCCAAAUCCUUUUCCCGACCCCCAAACUCCCCUUUCCGACCCCAAAAUCCUCCCUUCUGACCCCAAAUCCCCCUUUCCAGACCUCAGAUCCUCAUCUCUGGCCCCGAAAUCCCUAUUUCUCGACCCCAAAAUCCCCAUUUUUGGCCCCAAAAUCCUCACUUCUCACCCCAAAUCCCGGAUCCAGACCCCAAAAUCCCCAUUUCUGGCCCCCAAAUCCCCCCUCCUGACCCCAUAAUCCCCCUUC